CCUACGGGUGGCAGCAGUGAGGAAUAUUGGUCAAUGGACGAGAGUCUGAACCAGCCAAGUAGCGUGAAGGAUGACUGCCCUAUGGGUUGUAAACUUCUUUUAUAUGGGAAUAAAAUGUUCCACGUGUGGGAUUUUGUAUGUACCAUAUUAAUAAGGAUCGGCUAACUCCGUGCCAGCAGCCGCGGUAAUACGGAGGAUCCGAGCGUUAUCCGGAUUUAUUGGGUUUAAAGGGAGCGUAGGUGGGUUGUUAAGUCAGUUGUGAAAGUUUGCGGCUCAACCGUAAAAUUGCAGUUGAAACUGGCAGUCUUGAGUACAGUAGAGGUGGGCGGAAUUCGUGGUGUAGCGGUGAAAUGCUUAGAUAUCACGAAGAACUCCGAUUGCGAAGGAAGUUCACUAGACUGCAACUGACAUUGAGGCUCGAAAGUGUGGGUAUCAAACAGGAUUAGAUACCCCAGUAGUC
RNAcentral lists this ribosomal RNA (460 nucleotides) under uncultured bacterium. RNAcentral's name for it is "partial 16S ribosomal RNA". It matches the Rfam family "Bacterial small subunit ribosomal RNA", at positions 338 to 795 of the family's 1533-position model. The record is from RNAcentral.